RNAcentral lists this ribosomal RNA (229 nucleotides) under uncultured bacterium. RNAcentral describes it as "partial 16S ribosomal RNA". It matches the Rfam family "Bacterial small subunit ribosomal RNA", at positions 568 to 796 of the family's 1533-position model. The record is from RNAcentral.
CGCGUAGGUGGUUAAUUAAGUCAGAUGUGAAAGCCCAGGGCUCAACCUUGGAACUGCAUUUGAAACUGGUUAACUAGAGUUUUGUAGAGGGUGGUAGAAUUUCAGGUGUAGCGGUGAAAUGCGUAGAGAUCUGAAGGAAUACCAGUGGCGAAGGCGGCCACCUGGACAAAGACUGACACUGAGGCGCGAAGGCGUGGGGAGCAAACAGGAUUAGAUACCCUGGUAGUCC